Ictalurus punctatus (channel catfish) is the source of this 1769-nucleotide long non-coding RNA. Lineage: Eukaryota; Metazoa; Chordata; Actinopteri; Siluriformes; Ictaluridae. The record is from Ensembl.
UUACUUUUCUAUAUACUGUAGAAAUAAACAGAAAUCUCUGCCAUUUACAUUAAGAAACUAAGAAUGUGCAUUGCUGUUAAUGAUGGAAGGGUUUGUACUUCAAAAAAGCAAUUUAAGGACACAGACCAUAGAGACAGUUAUGAACUCUUCAUUUUUCCUUCCUACUGAUGACAAAAUGCCUGUCUCUCUGAUGUAUGCAUUCAUUGGUAUCAGCAUAAUUGUGAUGUUUGUGUCUCUCCCACUCAACGUGUAUGUUUUGUGGCUGAUUGUAACAGGUGCAAGAAAUGGAAUAGUAUCAGAAUACUUUUCUCUUAACCUCUGUGUGUGUGAGAUCAUCAUUAGCUUAAUUUCGGUGCCUAGCAUUUUAAACGUUAUACUCUAUAGAAAUGGUCAAAAUAGCCCUUUAUAUCAUAUUCUUAUGUUAUUGUCCUCAAUUCAUCUUAUCAGCCGUCCAUUCUUCCAGUGCUUUGUCUGCGUGGAACGAUAUGUGGCAGUGAUCCAUCCCAUCAUCUUCCUAAAAUACAAAUCACUAACAUAUCGCAUUGUUUGGUCAUUUGUUACCUGGAUAAUCGUUUUAGGAUUCAGUGCACUUUGCUUAUAUGUACAAGUCAGAUGCAUAUAUUAUUAUAUUCUACUUCCAGAGUACAUGCUUUUGUGUUCUAUUAAGAUUCUCUGCUCCGUAGCAGUGCUUAAGGCUUUGAAGAAACCUGGACCUGGUGAGAAAUUACGUGUAAAAGAUGCAGAGUCCAACCGCAUGAAAAAGAAGGCUUUUUUGGUGAUUGUGCUUAUUCUGAUUUUCAUGGUUAUUACUUAUUUGCCAAUGAUGAUAUUCAUGUUUCUCAUUGAUUAUCUAUCAGCUAUACAGAUAUGGAAGGGUCUGGCAGUGUUUUACUACUUUACGAUAUUUGCUGGAUUUGUGUAUCCAUUUCUGUAUCUUCACAGGGUUGGAAAACUUUCUUUCAUUCCUGGUUUAUGAUUCUGCUCAAAUUAAAGUGAACACCAUCAGCACUACAAUUUUUUCUUUUCUUCUAAAAUGUUUAGAAGUUUGUAAAAUAUGAAACUAAACUUUUCUUUUUUUUAGAUAAAGCACAAAUGUGUUAAUUCUCACUUCAAAUGAGCUAAAACCUUUCAGUCUUCUGCAUGAUAGUGAUUCUAUAGUAAUAAAUAUUGAUUGUUACAUUUAAAAACAAAAAUAAAAUUAGAGCUGGGCUAUUUUCUUGCUGCUCUUAUGUCUACUUAUAUAUUUAGUGAAAAUAUAUCAGCAGAAGAUUUUUGUUUGUUUGUUUGUUUUUUAAAUUAAGCACUAAGAGUAUACAAUAAUUAAUUGUAAGUCUCUUUUGCAUUCUAUUUCCAUUUUACCUGUGCACUGCAGUUGUGCCAACCUGAAAUGCAAUUAAGCCUUAAGCUGUACUCAGGUCAAGGCUGUAAUCAGAAAAGAGGAGAAGGGCCUCACUCUUGUGAAUAUGUACAUUUCCUAUUAGUUUCACUGUUGGGAAUAAUUCAUUGUCAUUUUCUAAACAAUAUGAGACUUGAAACAGUCAUUUAGGCAAUGUAUGCAUUUUAUAUAUCCUCAUAAACUGUUUAUGUAAAAUUAUAAUGUGGAAGAUUUUUUUUAUGCUUGUAGUGAAACUCUUCAUUGAUGUUAACUUGGUGUAUAUACUGUAUCUCCACACUUUUUAAACAUCUAUUUACAUGCUUAAUAAAUGUUCUCACCUGUAUAAUGCACAUAUAUUUAGUUAAACAAAUUGGUGUUUGAUCUAUUACAACCA